UUGGUUAAGUUAGAAAGGGCGCACGGUGGAUGCCUUGGCACUAGGAGCCGAAGAAGGACGGGACUAACACCGAUAUGCUUUGGGGAGCUGUACGUAAGCGUUGAUCCAGAGAUUUCCGAAUGGGGGAACCCACUAUCUUUAGUCGGAUAGUAUCCUUACGUGAAUACAUAGCGUGAGGAAGGCAGACCCAGGGAACUGAAACAUCUAAGUACCUGGAGGAAGAGAAAGAAAAAUCGAUUUCCUGAGUAGCGGCGAGCGAAACGGAAAGAGCCCAAACCAAGAAGCUUGCUUCUUGGGGUUGUAGGACACUCUAUACGGAGUUACAAAAGAAAGUUAUAAAUGAAGCGGUCUGGAAAGGCCCGCCAAAGACGGUAACAGCCCGGUAGUUGAAAUGGCUUUCCCUCCAGAGUGGAUCCUGAGUACGGCGGAACACGUGAAAUUCCGUCGGAAUCCGGGAGGACCAUCUCCCAAGGCUAAAUACUCCCUAGUGACCGAUAGUGAACCAGUACCGUGAGGGAAAGGUGAAAAGCACCCCGGAAGGGGAGUGAAACAGUUCCUGAAACCGUGUGCCUACAAGUAGUUAGAGCCCGUUAAUGGGUGAUAGCGUGCCUUUUGUAGAAUGAACCGGCGAGUUACGAUUUGUUGCAAGGUUAAGCGGAAAAAGCGGAGCCGUAGCGAAAGCGAGUCUGAAUAGGGCGCAUAAGUAACAGGUCGUAGACCCGAAACCAGGUGAUCUACCCAUGUCCAGGAUGAAGGUAAGGUAAUACUUACUGGAGGUCCGAACCCACGCACGUUGAAAAGUGCGGGGAUGAGGUGUGGGUAGCGGAGAAAUUCCAAUCGAACUUGGAGAUAGCUGGUUCUCUCCGAAAUAGCUUUAGGGCUAGCCUCGAGGUAAAGAGUCAUGGAGGUAGAGCACUGUUUGGACUAGGGGCCCUUCUCGGGUUACCGAAUUCAGAUAAACUCCGAAUGCCAUGUACUUAUACUCGGGAGUCAGACUGCGAGUGAUAAGAUCCGUAGUCGAAAGGGAAACAGCCCAGACCACCAGUUAAGGUCCCCAAAUAUAUGUUAAGUGGAAAAGGAUGUGGGGUUGCUUAGACAACCAGGAUGUUGGCUUAGAAGCAGCCACCAUUGAAAGAGUGCGUAAUAGCUCACUGGUCGAGUGACCCCGCGCCGAAAAUGUACCGGGGCUAAACAUAUUACCGAAACUGUGGAUGAACCUCUUUAGAGGUUCGUGGUAGGAGAGCGUUCUAAGGGCGGUGAAGUCAGACCGGAAGGACUGGUGGAGCGCUUAGAAGUGAGAAUGCCGGUAUGAGUAGCGAAAGAAGGGUGAGAAUCCCUUCCACCGAAUAUCUAAGGUUUCCUGAGGAAGGCUCGUCCGCUCAGGGUUAGUCGGGACCUAAGCCGAGGCCGAUAGGCGUAGGCGAUGGACAACAGGUAGAGAUUCCUGUACCAGUGCUAAUUGUUUAACCGAUGGGGUGACACAGAAGGAUAGGGAAUCGCACGAAUGGAAAUGUG
This 1515-nucleotide ribosomal RNA is filed under the name Listeria monocytogenes. RNAcentral describes it as "partial 23S ribosomal RNA". It matches the Rfam family "Bacterial large subunit ribosomal RNA", at positions 1 to 1508 of the family's 2925-position model. Lineage: Bacteria; Bacillati; Bacillota; Bacilli; Caryophanales; Listeriaceae. The record is from RNAcentral.